GACGAACGCUGGCGGCGUGCCUAAUACAUGCAAGUCGAACGCUUCUUUUUCCACCGGAGCUUGCUCCACCGGAAAAAGAGGAGUGGCGAACGGGUGAGUAACACGUGGGUAACCUGCCCAUCAGAAGGGGAUAACACUUGGAAACAGGUGCUAAUACCGUAUAACAAUCGAAACCGCAUGGUUUUGAUUUGAAAGGCGCUUUCGGGUGUCGCUGAUGGAUGGACCCGCGGUGCAUUAGCUAGUUGGUGAGGUAACGGCUCACCAAGGCCACGAGGCAUAGCCGACCUGAGAGGGUGAUCGGCCACAUUGGGACUGAGACACGGGCCAAACUCCUACGGGAGGCAGCAGUAGGGAAUCUUCGGCAAUGGACGAAAGUCUGACCGAGCAACGCCGCGUGAGUGAAGAAGGUUUUCGGAUCGUAAAACUCUGUUGUUAGAGAAGAACAAGGAUGAGAGUAACUGUUCAUCCCUUGACGGUAUCUAACCAGAAAGCCACGGCUAACUACGUGCCAGCAGCCGCAGUAA
This 524-nucleotide ribosomal RNA is filed under the name uncultured bacterium. Its description in RNAcentral is "partial 16S ribosomal RNA". It matches the Rfam family "Bacterial small subunit ribosomal RNA", at positions 28 to 523 of the family's 1533-position model. The record is from RNAcentral.